RNAcentral lists this unclassified non-coding RNA (485 nucleotides) under Hevea brasiliensis (rubber tree). Lineage: Eukaryota; Viridiplantae; Streptophyta; Magnoliopsida; Malpighiales; Euphorbiaceae. The record is from RNAcentral.
UGUCAUCAAAUUGCUCUAAAUAAAUAUGCAUGAGAUACAUUCUGAAGUUGGUAGACAAUUCUAAUGCAUUAAAUGCCAUUAUUUAACUAUAAAUGCCAUUAUUUAACUAUAUGCAUUAGAUACUUACCUGGUAUUUUAUUAACUAGUAACCUGUUGUGAUUUUGUUUAUAGCAUUAUCUGCAGAGUCCAUAAUCAAAAAAUUUAUGCAUAAUUCUAGGAAAAGCAUGCUUUAGGAUACUUGUGGGUAACAUUUUCUGUUUUGCUGGCAUAUUGAUAAAUGUAACAUGAGUAUAUAUGAUGCUUAAACUUCAGAGUUAAUGGACCUUGUGAAUUUAUAAUAGAUGUCACUGCCUUAAAGUAAAAGAAGAUGGAUUCUGGACCCACUUCAUCAGAGUUUGGCCACAUGUUUUUUUGCAGUCAUAUGAGAUUUUCUUGUUUGUUCCAUUUAAGUCCCAUUUUUGAAAGCCCAUAUUCCACAAAAAAAA